Molecule: ribosomal RNA, 678 nt
Filed under: Triticum aestivum (bread wheat)
Lineage: Eukaryota; Viridiplantae; Streptophyta; Magnoliopsida; Poales; Poaceae
Description: partial small subunit ribosomal RNA
Source: RNAcentral
GAGGAGGAGGCGGCCAGGCUGAGGUACCUCGAGUUCGUGCAGCAGGCGGCGGCGCAGGCCGUCGUGCUUGCCGCCGCGGCCUACGCGUACGCCAAGCAGGGCGCCGGCCCGCUCCGCCCCGGCGUUGACCACGUCGAGGGGACCGUCAAGGCCGUCGUCGGCCCCGUCUACGACCGCUACCACGCCGUGCCGCUCGACCUCCUCAAGUUCCUCGACCGCAAGGUUGACGAGUCUGUCCAGGAGCUGGACCGCCGUGUCCCACCAGUCGUGAAGGAGGUGCCGACCUAUGCCCGCUCUGCAGCAGCUGAGGUGCAGAAGACAGGCAUAAUGGGCACAGCAACUGGACUGGCCAAGUCGGCCAUUGCUCGCGCUGAGCCUAAGGCCCGUGACUUGUAUACCCGCUAUGAGCCUGUGGCGGAGCGCAAGGCUGCCGAAGCCUGGGCCGCCCUGAACCGCCUCCCGCUCGUCCCCUCGGUGACCCGUGCCGUCCUCCCCACAGCUGCACAGCUCUCAGCCAAGUACAACUCUGCAGUGCUCGAUGGCGCUAAGCGUGGCAACUCCGUCGCCACCUACCUCCCGCUCGUCCCAACUGAGCGCAUUGCAAGGGUUUUCGCCAACCCGGCCGCCGACACUGCGCCUGCCACAGCUCCUGAGAUGCAGCCCAUCCCGACGCAGUAA